This 496-nucleotide ribosomal RNA is filed under the name uncultured bacterium. Its description in RNAcentral is "partial 16S ribosomal RNA". It matches the Rfam family "Bacterial small subunit ribosomal RNA", at positions 29 to 507 of the family's 1533-position model. The record is from RNAcentral.
AUGAACGCUGGCGGCGUGCCUAAUACAUGCAAGUCGCGCGAACGGACGAGAAGCUUGCUUCUCUGAUGUUAGCGGCGGACGGGUGAGUAACACGUGGAUAACCUACCUAUAAGACUGGGAUAACUUCGGGAAACCGGAGCUAAUACCGGAUAAUAUUUUGAACCGCAUGGUUCAAAAGUGAAAGACGGUCCUGCUGUCACUUAUAGAUGGAUCCGCGCUGCAUUAGCUAGUUGGUAAGGUAACGGCUUACCAAGGCAACGAUGCAUAGCCGACCUGAGAGGGUGAUCGGCCACACUGGAACUGAGACACGGUCCAGACUCCUACGGGAGGCAGCAGUAGGGAAUCUUCCGCAAUGGGCGAAAGCCUGACGGAGCAACGCCGCGUGAGUGAUGAAGGUCUUCGGAUCGUAAAACUCUGUUAUUAGGGAAGAACAUAUGUGUAAGUAACUGUGCACAUCUUGACGGUACCUAAUCAGAAAGCCACGGCUAACUACGUG